UGGGGAAUAUUGGACACUGGGGGGAACCCUGAUCCAGCCAUGCCGCGUGUGUGAAGAAGGCCUUAUGGUUGUAAAGCACCUUAAGCGAGGAGGAGGGUACUGGUAUUAAUACUACCAGCUACUGGACGUUACUCGCAGAAUAAGCACCGGCUAACUCUGUGCCAGCAGCCGCGGUAAUACAGAGGGUGCGAGCGUUAAUCGGAUUUACUGGGCGUAAAGCGUGCGUAGGCGGCUAAUUGAGUCGGAUGUGAAAUCCCCGAGCUUAACUUGGGAAUUGCAUUCGAUACUGGUUAGCUAGAGUGUGGGAGAGGAUGGUAGAAUUCCAGGUGUAGCCGUGAAAUGCGUAGAGAUCUGGAGGAAUACCGAUGGCGAAGGCAGCCAUCUGGCCUAACACUGACGCUGAGGUACGAAAGCAUGGGGAGCAAACAGG
RNAcentral lists this ribosomal RNA (430 nucleotides) under Pseudomonadota bacterium. RNAcentral's name for it is "Proteobacteria bacterium partial 16S ribosomal RNA". It matches the Rfam family "Bacterial small subunit ribosomal RNA", at positions 355 to 776 of the family's 1533-position model. Lineage: Bacteria; Pseudomonadati; Pseudomonadota. The record is from RNAcentral.